Molecule: ribosomal RNA, 484 nt
Filed under: uncultured bacterium
Lineage: Bacteria
Description: partial 16S ribosomal RNA
Rfam family: Bacterial small subunit ribosomal RNA
Source: RNAcentral
AUUGAACGCUGGCGGCAGGCCUAACACAUGCAAGUCGAGCGGAUGAAGGGAGCUUGCUCCUGGAUUCAGCGGCGGACGGGUGAGUAAUGCCUAGGAAUCUGCCUGGUAGUGGGGGAUAACGUCCGGAAACGGGCGCUAAUACCGCAUACGUCCUGAGGGAGAAAGUGGGGGAUCUUCGGACCUCACGCUAUCAGAUGAGCCUAGGUCGGAUUAGCUAGUUGGUGGGGUAAAGGCCUACCAAGGCGACGAUCCGUAACUGGUCUGAGAGGAUGAUCAGUCACACUGGAACUGAGACGCGGUCCAGACUCCUACGGGAGGCAGCAGUGGGGAAUAUUGGACAAUGGGCGAAAGCCUGAUCCAGCCAUGCCGCGUGUGUGAAAAAGGUCUUCGGAUUGUAAAGCACUUUAAGUUGGGAGGAAGGGCAGUAAGUUAAUACCUUGCUGUUUUGACGUUACCAACAGAAUAAGCACCGGCUAACUUCGUG